GGACUACACGGGUUUCUAAUCCUGUUUGCUCCCCCAGCUUUCGCGCAUCAGCGUCAGUAGUGGUCCAGUGCGCCGCUUUCGCCACAGGUGUUCCUCCCGAUCUCUACGCAUUUCACCGCUACACCGGGAAUUCCACGCACCUCUCCCACACUCCAGCACGGCAGUUUUCCCCGCAGGCACUGAGUUGAGCCCAGUGAUUUCACGAGGAACUUGCCGCACCGCCUACGCGCCCUUUACGCCCAAUAAUUCCGAACAACGCUCGCACCCUCUGUAUUACCGCGGCUGCUGGCAC
This 292-nucleotide ribosomal RNA is filed under the name uncultured Acidobacteriota bacterium. RNAcentral describes it as "uncultured Acidobacteria bacterium partial 16S ribosomal RNA". The record is from RNAcentral. Lineage: Bacteria; Pseudomonadati; Acidobacteriota.